ACCUCGACACCUACGGGAGCAGCAGUCGGGAAUAUUGCGCAAUGGAGGAAACUCUGACGCAGUGACGCCGCGUAUAGGAAGAAGGUUUUCGGAUUGUAAACUAUUGUCGUUAGGGAAGAUACAAGACAGUACCUAAGGAGGAAGCACCGGCUAACUAUGUGUCAGCAGCCGCGGUAAUCUGAGCGGGCUGGCAAGGC
This 197-nucleotide ribosomal RNA is filed under the name uncultured bacterium. RNAcentral describes it as "partial 16S ribosomal RNA". It matches the Rfam family "Bacterial small subunit ribosomal RNA", at positions 329 to 539 of the family's 1533-position model. The record is from RNAcentral.